This 1894-nucleotide long non-coding RNA is filed under the name Lathyrus oleraceus (garden pea). RNAcentral describes it as "Pisum sativum (pea) long non-coding RNA (PSAT_LNC035250)". The record is from RNAcentral. Lineage: Eukaryota; Viridiplantae; Streptophyta; Magnoliopsida; Fabales; Fabaceae.
CUGGAUUGGGGUGUAUGCAGUAAUGUGGAUGGGCCUUGAGGGGAAAAGGUGACCCAUCCGAAAAUGUGAGGGAGAUAAGAAGGCCUCAUGUGGAUUUCAAAAGGAAGCAUGUGCACGUUGAAACAAUGGCCAAUCUUUCAAAUGUCUGACCGAAGACACACCGUAUCCGCCGCACCGGAGGUCACCUUAGGCGGCGGCGGAAUGCUAAACUAAGAAAAUCAUACAUCAAUAUACUCGUUUCUUCAUCCUCAAUCCAUAUCCAUAAUCAAUUUCACCUAAAUUCCACCCUAAAGCUAAGACCGAGUCCAAAUUAACCAAGAAUCCUAACUGAAAAUUGAGAAAUUAAAUGCUCUCCUCUUGGAAUCAAAGUCCACUGAGUUGGGGCAUUGAUUCCUCAACCUCCAAGCUACAUUUCCGUAACUGAAUCGAAACAAAAGGUGGAGAAAAACAACUCAUGCUACCGGAGAAGAAUGCAUACGACGGUGAAUCUCUUGGUGAGUUCUUGCCUCUAACUCUUUAUCGUUUCCGAAUUCCAGGUCUUCCACUUUUUCUACUCUCCUUCUAUUGAUGCUACGUGAAUUGAAUGAGUGAAUCCUUAUGAUAAUUGUUGAUCUAUGAAUCACUCUUUGAGGAUUUGUUGUGAGGUUGGGAGGGUUUGUGAAUUGAUGAGAGAGUGACAAUUUCUGUAACUAAAUGAAAAUCCAUCAAAACCUCUCUACAUUGAUGAAUUUAUAACCCUCCAAGUUAACAGAGUUUUUGACUCUGUUAAUUAACCUCUAUGUAAGUUAGUUAUGGAACUCACAUUGUUAAUGAAUCAGUUAGGGUUAGAUAGGUCAUUCCAUGAUUAGUUAGUUAUUGGAGCAGUUAAUUUUGUUGACUAAUUCUACUAUGAAAACACUUACUAACAACUUGGCUCGAUAUUUGACAUCAGCUUGACUUGAAUCCUAUUAUGGAUUAGCAGCUGAAAAGUGUUAGGUUAGUAGGUUAAGUGUUUUGGCAAGUUGAAUUGGCUUCGUUAGUUUGAGAGGUGAGUUGAAACAUGAAAUGAUUUUGCAAUCUCAGGAAUUCAACCAAGGCAAUGUCAACUGCUAGCUUGGCAUUCUGCAGACUGCACCAUGAGCUAUUGUGAGGGUGGCUUAUGAAUGUGUGAAAGAGAUCUCACCUAGUUUCCACUUCUCUUAGCAACCAUAGGUUGGAUGCCAAACUGAUAUGCAGUCAGUGUAAUGAGGAACCAAUUUCCAUUUCUAUUAGCAACAAUAGGUUGACUCAUAUGUAUAUUGAUUUGUUGGAUUCAUGGCUUGAUAGAUAAAAGGUUACGUUCUUGUGUCAUGGGCUGCAUUAGAUUUUGUAAUGGCCUUGGAUUAUGCAUGAUAAAAGUAACCAUGGAAACCAAUCUUGGAUUAGUUUCAUGUUUAAAACAAAUGGUAACCAUGUUUAAAACUUUUAUGGCAAUUGCUUAAUGAUUUCUUGAUGCGAGUUUGUAACUAUGUGAAGUAUUAUUAUGGAUCAAAAUUGUGAUGCAUUGUUGGUUUAUUAUUAUGGUUUAAGUUAUAGCUAGCCCAAGUUCAAACAUUUUCAUGGCAUGUUGACUACAAAAUGGAGAAUCAAGCCCAAAUGGUUAAAUCAAGACCAAAAUGGACAUGAAGAAUGAAAUGUAGAACUAGGAUUAACCAUUUAGUGGUUUAGGAUGAAAAAGGACUUGGGUUGACUUUGGUCAAACUUGACUAAAAAGUCAAUUGUUCACCAAAGUCAACAUUUGGUCAACAUGUAAUUUUUUGGAUUUUUUUGUAUGUAAUGAACAUUUAUGGAUGAUAAUGGAUACAAAUGACUAUUUGAAUAAAAAAUUAAUGGGUUUAGUAUAUGAAUAUGUUACUUGAAUUUGAAUUUGAAUGAA